CCCUUAGAUGUUCUGGGCUGCACGCGCGCUACACUGAAGCGUUCAACGAGUAUUCACCUUGCCCGGGAGGGUUGGGUAAUCUUUUGAAAACGCUUCGUGAUGGGGAUAGAUUAUUGCAAUUAUUAAUCUUCAACGAGGAAUUCCUAGUAAGCGCGAGUCAUCAGCUCGUGCUGAUUACGUCCCUGCCCUUUGUACACACCGCCCGUCGCUCCUGCCGAUUGAAUGGUCCGGUGAAAUCUCGGGACGGCGGCUUGGUCGCUUGCGUCCGACUGCUGAAACUUGAUUAAACCAUAUCAUUUAGAGGAAGGUGAAGUCGUAACA
RNAcentral lists this ribosomal RNA (321 nucleotides) under uncultured eukaryote. Its description in RNAcentral is "partial 18S ribosomal RNA". It matches the Rfam family "Eukaryotic small subunit ribosomal RNA", at positions 1470 to 1796 of the family's 1831-position model. The record is from RNAcentral.